AUUGGACGCUGGCGGUAUGCUUAAGACAUGCAAGUCGAACGGAAUCUUCGGAUUCAGUGGCGGACGGGUGAGUAACACGUGGGAAUCUACUGAGUAGUGGGGGACAGCCCGGCGAAAGCCGGAUUAAUACCGCAUACGCCCUACGGGGAAAGGCGCAAGCCGCUAUUUAAUGAGCCCGCGUAAGAUUAGCUAGUUGGUGAGGUAAAGGCCCACCAAGGCAACGAUCUUUAGCUGGUCUGAGAGGAUGGCCAGCCACAUCGGGACUGAGACACGGCCCGGACUCCUACGGGAGGCAGCAGUCGGGAAUAUUGGACAAUGGGCGCAAGCCUGAUCCAGCAAUACCGCGUGUGUGAAGAAGGCCUGCGGGUUGUAAAGCACUUUCAGUUGGGAAGAUAAUGACGUUACCAACAGAAGAAGCACCGGCUAACUCCGUGCCAGCAGCCGCGGUAAAGU
This 453-nucleotide ribosomal RNA is filed under the name uncultured bacterium. RNAcentral describes it as "bacterial SSU rRNA". It matches the Rfam family "Bacterial small subunit ribosomal RNA", at positions 30 to 526 of the family's 1533-position model. The record is from RNAcentral.